Molecule: long non-coding RNA, 696 nt
Filed under: Gossypium barbadense (sea-island cotton)
Lineage: Eukaryota; Viridiplantae; Streptophyta; Magnoliopsida; Malvales; Malvaceae
Description: long non-coding RNA (GBAR_LNC023119)
Source: RNAcentral
GGAAAUCACUAACCAUUAUUAUUAUCACAGCCUAUAAAAAAAAUUAAGCUUAAAGAUGGCCUCACCUUUUUGUUGCACUACCCUUGUUCUUUCUUAUGUUUCGAUUGCACUCGUGGUCACCAUUUUUCCAACUUUCGGUACUGGUUCUACCAGAUUAGCCACAGCAUCCGAGCUAGAAAUGGAAGCAAAAGCUCUCCUUCAUUUAGGUUGGUGGAGUUGGCACGGCAAUGACACUCGCGAUCGUUGCGGAUGGAAAGGUAUAGCAUGCAAUGAAGCUGGGAGCAUCACCAGCAUUGAUUGUUCAUGGGUUGCGGUUAGGGGAAGCAUCUCGCCUGAAAUAGGAGCUUUCUCUUCACUCGAGUCCCUUAAUCUUUCUCACAGUGCUCUAGUAGGUGAGUUACCUCCAUCUCUCGGAAAACUUACACUCUUAGAAGAGCUCAACCUUUCCAAUAACUCUAUUACCGGUUCUAUCCCCCUAGACUGGGGGAACAUGAAGAGUUUGAAACAGUUAGACCUAUCCAAUAACCAAAUUCGUGGUCCUAUCCCUCCUACCUUAGGCAACUUAACCAAUUUAGAACAGUUGGACUUAUCCAAUAACCAAAUUCGUGGUAUUAUCCCCUUAGACUGGGGGAACAUGAAGAGUUUGAAACAGUUGGACCUAUCCAAUAACCAAAUUCGUGGUUCUAUCCCUCCUAC